UACGUAGGGUGCAAGCGUUAAUCGGAAUUACUGGGCGUAAAGCGUGCGGAGGCGGUUUUGUAAGUUUGUCGUGAAAGCUCCGGGCUCAACCUGGGAAUGGCGAUGAAGACUGCAAGGCUUGAAUCUGGCAGAGGGGGGUAGAAUUCCACGUGUAGCAGUGAAAUGCGUAGAGAUGUGGAGGAACACCGAUGGCGAAGGCAGCCCCCUGGGUCAAGAUUGACGCUCAUGCACGAAAGCGUGGGGAGCAAACAGG
RNAcentral lists this ribosomal RNA (253 nucleotides) under uncultured bacterium. RNAcentral's name for it is "partial 16S ribosomal RNA". It matches the Rfam family "Bacterial small subunit ribosomal RNA", at positions 524 to 776 of the family's 1533-position model. The record is from RNAcentral.